This 440-nucleotide ribosomal RNA is filed under the name uncultured bacterium. Its description in RNAcentral is "bacterial SSU rRNA". It matches the Rfam family "Bacterial small subunit ribosomal RNA", at positions 338 to 795 of the family's 1533-position model. The record is from RNAcentral.
CCUACGGGAGGCAGCAGUGGGGAAUAUUGCACAAUGGGGGAAACCCUGAUGCAGCAACGCCGCGUGAGCGAUGAAGGCCUUCGGGUCGUAAAGCUCUGUCCUAAGGGAAGAAUACUGACGGUACCUUAGGAGGAAGCCCCGGCUAACUACGUGCCAGCAGCCGCGGUAAUACGUAGGGGGCUAGCGUUAUCCGGAAUUACUGGGCGGAAAGGGUGCGUAGGCGGCCCUUCAAGUCAGAGGUGAAAGGCUACGGCUCAACCGUAGUAAGCAGUUGAAACGGUAGGGCUGGGGUGGAGGAGAGGGGAGUUGAAGUCCAAGUGUAGGGGUGAAAUGCGUAGAAAUUGGGAGGAACAGAGGUUGAGAAGGCGGCUCGGUGGACUGUAACUGACGCUGGGGCACGAAAGGGUGGGGAGGGAACAGGAUGAGAUACCCUGGGAGUC